Molecule: long non-coding RNA, 516 nt
Organism: Peromyscus leucopus (white-footed mouse)
Lineage: Eukaryota; Metazoa; Chordata; Mammalia; Rodentia; Cricetidae
Exons: 2
Source: RefSeq, a predicted model, not a curated record
GAAGUUUAGCGGAAGGGGCGGGCCAUAGGCCAGCAGUACCCGCCCCUUCCGGGAGGACUUCUGCAAACAAAGCCCCACACCCCCCACUAAUGCAGACCUCCAGGGUCUGCCCUGACCCUCCCACUCAGAUACUGCCUGUGAACAGGGGACAAAGGCACAGUCAACUGUGGGAAGUCCUGUCCACACACCAGGGAGUCAGAUUAACCCGGAAUAUGGUUUAUAUAGAAGACAAGACAUGGAGUGUCAGGUGACUGUGGAGAGGUUUGUGAUUUCCACUGCAUCUCUGCAGGUGUAAUGGAGAAUACAUUCUGAGCUCAUCGUGUGUCCACGGCAGAAGGGGACUGGAAACGGGAAGACGACUAAACGUCCUAUAGCUUCUGGAAUCUUUCUUGCACUCCAUAGCACCCAAGAGGUCUAUUCCCUCAGAUAACCAGAAACGGGGGUGCGGUGGGGAUGGGGCAGGAUGGACUUGUUAUAAAUACUUCCAGAAAUAAAAAGUAACAGUCGGGCACCUGA